This 655-nucleotide unclassified non-coding RNA is filed under the name Hevea brasiliensis (rubber tree). The record is from RNAcentral. Lineage: Eukaryota; Viridiplantae; Streptophyta; Magnoliopsida; Malpighiales; Euphorbiaceae.
GAAGGCAGAUGUUUAUAGCUUUGGCAUUGUAGUCAUGGAAGUAAUCUGUGGUAGGAAAAAUUUAGAUAGGUCACAGACUGAGGAAUUCAAGCAUUUACUUCCAAUUUUCAUGAAAAAAGCUGAGGAGGAUAUAUUGGAGGAUAUGGUUGACGGAAGUGAGGAUAUGCAAUUGCACAAGUCAGAAGCUGUGGAGAUGAUGAGGGUUGCAAUUUGGUGUCUGCAGAGUGAUUACACAAGGAGGCCUUCCAUGUCAGUUGUGGUUAAAGUCUUAGAAGGCACUGUGGAUGUGGAAGCUGACCUAGACUACGCCAUCCAUAAUCCAAUAGCAAUGGCAGCAAUAAGAAGAGAGGUAGAGUUGGGAACAACAACUCCAGUAUUGCCAUCUUUUCUAUCAGGUCCAAGGUGAAGAAUGAUGAUUUUGUAAGAAAUCAGGGUUUUUCUAUUUCUUAUUACUUUUUUUUCUUUACUGUUGUUGUGCUUUAUAUGUUCCUUUAAUCUCUGUACUGCUUAUAUUUUUCUGUCCAUUGAUUACAUUUGGACAGUAUGGCAUUUGGGUUCAUCACAUUUAUAACUUUUAAUAACACUAUAUCUGAUGCUAAAAUAGAUAUAGAAGAAGUGUUUUUAGUCAAAUUGAUGUCAGUAGAUAUCAUCUAAG